CAAGUCGAACGAGAAGCUAACUUCUGAUUCCUUCGGGAUGAUGAGGUUAGCAGAAAGUGGCGAACGGGUGAGUAACGCGUGGGUAAUCUACCCUGUUAAGUGGGGGAUAACCCUCCGAAAGGAGGGCUAAUACCGCAUAAUAUCUUUAUCCCAAAGGAGGUAAAGAUUAAAGAUGGCCUCUAUACUAUGCUAUCACUUCAGGAUGAGCCUGCGUCCUAUUAGUUAGUUGGUGGGGUAAUGGCCUACCAAGACCACAAUGGGUAGCCGGUCUGAGAGGAUGUACGGCCACACUGGGACUGAGAUACGGCCCAGACUCCUACGGGAGGCAGCAGUGGGGAAUAUUGCGCAAUGGGGGAAACCCUGACGCAGCGACGCCGCGUGGAUGAUGAAGGCCCUUGGGUUGUAAAAUCCUGUUCUGGGGGAAGAAAGCUUAAAGGUCCAAUAAACCCUUAAGCCUGACGGUACCCCAAGAGAAAGCUCCGGCUAAUUAUGUGCCAGCAGCCGCGGUAAUACAUAAGGAGCAAGCGUUAUCCGGAAUUAUUGGGCGUAAAGAGCUCGUAGGCGGUCUUAAAAGUC
This 576-nucleotide ribosomal RNA is filed under the name uncultured Atribacterota bacterium. RNAcentral's name for it is "bacterial SSU rRNA". It matches the Rfam family "Bacterial small subunit ribosomal RNA", at positions 58 to 589 of the family's 1533-position model. The record is from RNAcentral. Lineage: Bacteria; Pseudomonadati; Atribacterota.